AUAGGGAAUCUUCCGCAAUGGACGAAAGUCUGACGGAGCAACGCCGCGUGAGUGAUGAAGGUUUUCGGAUCGUAAAGCUCUGUUGUUAGGGAAGAACAAGUGCCGUUCAAAUAGGGCGGCACCUUGACGGUACCUAACCAGAAAGCCACGGCUAACUACGUGCCAGCAGCCGCGGUAAUACGUAGGUGGCAAGCGUUGUCCGGAAUUAUUGGGCGUAAAGGGCUCGCAGGCGGUUUCUUAAGUCUGAUGUGAAAGCCCCCGGCUCAACCGGGGAGGGUCAUUGGAAACUGGGGAACUUGAGUGCAGAAGAGGAGAGUGGAAUUCCACGUGUAGCGGUGAAAUGCGUAGAGAUGUGGAGGAACACCAGUGGCGAAGGCGACUCUCUGGUCUGUAACUGACGCUGAGGAGCGAAAGCGUGGGGAGCGAACAGGAUUAGAUACCCUGGUAGUCCACGCCGUAAACGAUGAGUGCUAAGUGUUAGGGGGUUUCCGCCCCUUAGUGCUGCAGCUAACGCAUUAAGCACUCCGCCUGGGGAGUACGGUCGCAAGACUGAAACUCA
RNAcentral lists this ribosomal RNA (559 nucleotides) under Bacillus subtilis. RNAcentral describes it as "bacterial SSU rRNA". It matches the Rfam family "Bacterial small subunit ribosomal RNA", at positions 354 to 903 of the family's 1533-position model. The record is from RNAcentral. Lineage: Bacteria; Bacillati; Bacillota; Bacilli; Caryophanales; Bacillaceae.